AGGGCACCACCAGGAGUGGAGCCUGCGGCUUAAUUUGACUCAACACGGGAAAACUCACCCGGCCCGGACACUGUAAGGAUUGACAGACUGAGAGCUCUUUCUUAAUUCAGUGGGUGGUGGUGCAUGGCCGUUCUUAGUUGGUGGAGCGAUUUGUCUGGUUAAUUCCGAUAACGAACGAGACUCUGGCCUAUUAAAUAGACGAGGUAUUACUCUGUAUCUCGCGCUUCUUAGAGGGACAAGCGGCGUCUAGUCGCAUGAAAAAGAGCAAUAACAGGUCUGUGAUGCCCUUAGAUGUCCGGGGCUGCACGCGCGCUACACUGAAAGAAUCAGUGGGCGUUAUACCUAGCUCGGAAGAGCCGGGUAACCCAAGUAAUUUCUUUCGUGCUUGGGAUAGGGAAUUGCAAUUAUUUCCCUUAAACGAGGAAUUCCCAGUAAACGCGGGUCAUAAGCUCGUGUUGAUUACGUCCCUGCCCUUUGUACACACCGCCCGUCGCUACUACCGAUUGGAUGACUUAGUGA
RNAcentral lists this ribosomal RNA (519 nucleotides) under uncultured eukaryote. RNAcentral describes it as "SSU rRNA". It matches the Rfam family "Eukaryotic small subunit ribosomal RNA", at positions 1161 to 1704 of the family's 1831-position model. The record is from RNAcentral.